AAAAAGAUAAGCUAAAUAAGCUAAUGGGUUCAUACCCCAUGUAUAAAGGCCCCACCCCUUUUCUUUUUA
Molecule: transfer RNA, 69 nt
Filed under: Psylliodes chlorophana
Lineage: Eukaryota; Metazoa; Arthropoda; Insecta; Coleoptera; Chrysomelidae
Also listed under: 1 other name
Description: tRNA-Met
Source: RNAcentral